Molecule: ribosomal RNA, 459 nt
Filed under: uncultured bacterium
Lineage: Bacteria
Description: partial 16S ribosomal RNA
Rfam family: Bacterial small subunit ribosomal RNA
Source: RNAcentral
CCUACGGGAGGCAGCAGUGAGGAAUAUUGGUCAAUGGCCGAGAGGCUGAACCAGCCAAGUCGCGUGAGGGAUGACGGCCCUACGGGUUGUAAACCUCUUUUGUCGGGGAGCAAAGAGAGUCACGUGUGGUUCAUUGAGAGUACCCGAAGAAAAAGCAUCGGCUAACUCCGUGCCAGCAGCCGCGGUAAUACGGAGGAUGCGAGCGUUAUCCGGAUUUAUUGGGUUUAAAGGGUGCGCAGGCGGAGGUGCAAGUCAGUGGUCAAAUUGCGGGGCUCAACCCCGUACUGCCGUUGAAACUGCAUCCCUUGAGUGCGCGAGAAGUAUGCGGAAUGCGUGGUGUAGCGGUGAAAUGCAUAGAUAUCACGCAGAACUCCGAUUGCGAAGGCAGCAUACCGGCGCGCAACUGACGCUCAUGCACGAAAGCGUGGGUAUCGAACAGGAUUAGAUACCCGUGUAGUC